GCCGGGCGCGGUGGCUCACGCCUGUAAUCCCAGCACUUUGGGAGGCAGAGAUGGGCGGAUCACCUGAGGUCAGGAGUUCGAGACCAGCCUGACCAACAUGGUGAAACCCCGUCUCUA
Non-coding RNA from Gorilla gorilla gorilla (western lowland gorilla), 117 nucleotides. It matches the Rfam family "Metazoan signal recognition particle RNA". From Rfam's summary of the family: The signal recognition particle (SRP) is a universally conserved ribonucleoprotein. It is involved in the co-translational targeting of proteins to membranes. The eukaryotic SRP consists of a 300-nucleotide 7S RNA and six proteins: SRPs 72, 68, 54, 19, 14, and 9. NCBI's taxonomy places the organism in Eukaryota, Metazoa, Chordata, Mammalia, Primates, Hominidae. The record is from Rfam.